UGACUAGGGUAGUAUGAGUAGA
Molecule: microRNA, 22 nt
Filed under: Rattus norvegicus (Norway rat)
Lineage: Eukaryota; Metazoa; Chordata; Mammalia; Rodentia; Muridae
Description: rno-miR-3580-3p
Source: miRBase by way of RNAcentral